UAGGGAAUCUUCCACAAUGGGCGCAAGCCUGAUGGAGCAACACCGCGUGAGUGAAGAAGGGUUUCGGCUCGUAAAGCUCUGUUGUUAAAGAAGAACACGUAUGAGAGUAACUGCUCAUACGUUGACGGUAUUUAACCAGAAAGUCACGGCUAACUACGUGGCAG
This 164-nucleotide ribosomal RNA is filed under the name uncultured bacterium. RNAcentral describes it as "partial 16S ribosomal RNA". It matches the Rfam family "Bacterial small subunit ribosomal RNA", at positions 355 to 511 of the family's 1533-position model. The record is from RNAcentral.